CGUGUUCGAUCCACAUCGAUCCCAUGGACCGCCCAACACCCUGUGGUCCAUGAUGGACCGCAUAGGGGUGCUGGGUCGCCCGCGCAUGCUGGGCCGGCCCAUGCACGCACCUGUGCUGGGCCCGCCUGCAUGCUGGGCCACACGUGCCCCAGUGCAUUUGUCUCCAUCGGGCUCGAUGGUGCCAUCGUCAGCCUCUACCAGCCCACAGUCGGCC
RNAcentral lists this long non-coding RNA (214 nucleotides) under Elaeis guineensis (African oil palm). RNAcentral describes it as "long non-coding RNA (EGUI_LNC036752)". The record is from RNAcentral. Lineage: Eukaryota; Viridiplantae; Streptophyta; Magnoliopsida; Arecales; Arecaceae.